This 77-nucleotide transfer RNA is filed under the name Nodosilinea foveolarum. RNAcentral describes it as "tRNA-Glu". It matches the Rfam family "tRNA". Rfam says of the family: Transfer RNA (tRNA) molecules are approximately 80 nucleotides in length. Lineage: Bacteria; Bacillati; Cyanobacteriota; Cyanophyceae; Nodosilineales; Nodosilineaceae. The record is from RNAcentral.
GGUGGCGUAGGCAAACUGGUAAAGCCAUACGACUUUCAAUCGUAUGUUUGUGGGUUCGAUCCCCAUCGCCACUGCCA